AAAAGAAACUAACCAGGAUUCCCCCNGUAGCCGCGAGCGAAGAGGGAAGAGCCCAGCGCCGAAUCCCCGUCCGGCGGGCGGAUUGGGGAAAUGUGGCGUACGGAAGACCGCUUGCCCGGUGUCGCUCGGGGGCCUGAGUCCUUCUGAUCGAGGCUCAGCCCGUGGACGGUGUGAGGCCGGUAACGGCCCCCGUCGCGCCGGGGUCCGGUCUUCUCGGAGUCGGGUUGUUUGGGAAUGCAGCCCAAAGCGGGUNGUAAACUCCAUCUAAGGCUAAAUACCGGCACGAGACCGAUAGUCGACAAGUACCU
This 308-nucleotide ribosomal RNA is filed under the name Scorpaena onaria (ornate scorpionfish). RNAcentral describes it as "eukaryotic LSU rRNA". It matches the Rfam family "Eukaryotic large subunit ribosomal RNA", at positions 57 to 353 of the family's 3401-position model. Lineage: Eukaryota; Metazoa; Chordata; Actinopteri; Perciformes; Scorpaenidae. The record is from RNAcentral.